AACGAACGCUGGCGGCAUGCCUAACACAUGCAAGUCGAACGAGACCUUCGGGUCUAGUGGCGCACGGGUGCGUAACGCGUGGGAACCUGCCCUUAGGUUCGGAAUAACUCCCCGAAAGGGGUGCUAAUACCGGAUAAUGUCUUCGGACCAAAGAUUUAUCGCCUUUGGAUGGGCCCGCGUUGGAUUAGCUAGUUGGUAGGGUAAAAGCCUACCAAGGCGACGAUCCAUAGCUGGUCUGAGAGGAUGAUCAGCCACACUGGGACUGAGACACGGCCCAGACUCCUACGGGAGGCAGCAGUGGGGAAUAUUGGACAAUGGGCGAAAGCCUGAUCCAGCAAUGCCGCGUGAGUGAUGAAGGACUUAGGGUUGUAAAGCUCUUUUACCCGGGAUGAUAAUGACAGUACCGUGAGAAUAAGCUCCGGCUAACUCCGUG
This 433-nucleotide ribosomal RNA is filed under the name uncultured bacterium. RNAcentral's name for it is "partial 16S ribosomal RNA". It matches the Rfam family "Bacterial small subunit ribosomal RNA", at positions 29 to 507 of the family's 1533-position model. The record is from RNAcentral.